Molecule: transfer RNA, 97 nt
Filed under: Texcoconibacillus texcoconensis
Lineage: Bacteria; Bacillati; Bacillota; Bacilli; Caryophanales; Bacillaceae
Description: tRNA-Sec
Rfam family: Selenocysteine transfer RNA
Source: RNAcentral
GGGGCUGGUUGCGAUGCUGGUGCACGCCGAGGUCUUCAAAACCUUCUGAGAGGCGCGUGCCGUCUCUGCUGGGUUCGAUUCCCAGACAGUCCCGCCA